This 388-nucleotide unclassified non-coding RNA is filed under the name soil metagenome. RNAcentral's name for it is "partial contains 5.8S ribosomal RNA, internal transcribed spacer 2, and large subunit ribosomal RNA". The stretch from base 1 to 122 matches the Rfam family "5.8S ribosomal RNA", at positions 35 to 154 of the family's 154-position model. The record is from RNAcentral.
GAUGAAGAACGUAGCGAAAUGCGAUACUUGGUGUGAAUUGCAGAAUCCCGUGAACCAUCGAGUCUUUGAACGCAAGUUGCGCCCGAAGCCAUUAGGCCGAGGGCACGCCUGCCUGGGCGUCACACGUCGUUGCCCCCCCAUCUACUCCUUCGGGAUUGCGGGGGGCGGAUGAUGGCCUCCCGUGCGCCUCGUCGCGCGGUUGGCAUAAAUGCCAAGUCCUCGGCGACGCACGCCACGACAAUCGGUGGUUGCGAAACCUCGGUUGCCCGUCGUGUGCGGUCGUCGCGCAUCGAGGGCUCGAAAAAAUUGUCGGGCUCCGGCUCGGCUUUCAACGCGACCCCAGGUCAGGCGGGGUUACCCGCUGAAUUUAAGCAUAUCAAGCGGAGGA